CGUUCUCAGGGCGGGGUGCAAGUCCCCACCGGCGGUAAUGGCACUAGCCUAGCCCGCGAGCGCCUGGCUUUGGUCAGGGACAGCAGACCCGGUGUGAUUCCGGGGCCGACGGUAUAGUCCGGAUAAAGAG
This 130-nucleotide non-coding RNA is filed under the name Alcaligenes faecalis. RNAcentral describes it as "FMN riboswitch (RFN element)". It matches the Rfam family "FMN riboswitch aptamer (RFN element)", at positions 8 to 131 of the family's 138-position model. From Rfam's summary of the family: The RFN element is a highly conserved domain that is found frequently in the 5'-untranslated regions of prokaryotic mRNAs that encode for flavin mononucleotide (FMN) biosynthesis and transport proteins. This element is a metabolite-dependent riboswitch that directly binds FMN in the absence of proteins. In Bacillus subtilis, the riboswitch most likely controls gene expression by causing premature transcription termination within the 5' untranslated region of the ribDEAHT operon and precluding access to the ribosome-binding site of ypaA mRNA. The record is from RNAcentral. Lineage: Bacteria; Pseudomonadati; Pseudomonadota; Betaproteobacteria; Burkholderiales; Alcaligenaceae.